This is a long non-coding RNA of Magnolia sinica, 600 nucleotides long. RefSeq lists it as uncharacterized. The record is from RefSeq and is a predicted model, not a curated record. NCBI's taxonomy places the organism in Eukaryota, Viridiplantae, Streptophyta, Magnoliopsida, Magnoliales, Magnoliaceae. The transcript has 2 exons.
UCAUCUCAGAGAGGCCAUCCGACGCUGCUGCUCUCCCUUCCGAUCCAUUUGGAGACCUAAAAUCGUCUCAGAGAGGCCAUCCGACGCUGCUGCUCUCCUUUCUGAUCCACUUGGAGACCCAAAAUCGUCUCAGAGAGGCCAUCCGACGCUGCCGACGCUGCUUCUCUCCCCACCCUUCAGUGCUUUGGUCAAAGGUUAGCUGCCAGGCGCAAACCGACCUCAUCUCGAGACAAAAACAGGUACGCUCCUUCAUUUUUUUUGAAUUUUUUCGAUGUACAUUGAAAAUAACUUGGUAUUUUCAAUUUUUUCCUCAUUUUUUUCCCUUUUAAAACACUAGUUACCGUCGGUUUAUUAUUCUUUAUACCUUUUUUUUUUUUUCUGUGGUAUGGCCCACGUGGGCCCCACUGAGGUGCGUGAAGGGGUGGGAUGUGCAUUAUUUUCUAUGGUGUGGCCCACGUGGGGCCCACUGAGGUGCGUGAAGGGGUGGGAUGUGCAUUAUUUUCUAUGGUGUGGCCCACGUGGGGCCCACUGAGGUGCGUGAAGGGGUGGAUUUGCAUUAUUUUCUAUGGUGGGCCCACUGUGGUGUCCGUAUGAGUGUAA